UUUUCCUACGGGACGCAGCAGUGAGGAAUAUUGGUCAAUGGCCGCAGGGCUGAACCAGCCAAGUCGCGUGAGGGAUGACGGUCCUAUGGAUUGUAAACCUCUUUUGUCAGGGAGCAAAGGGCGCCACGUGUGGCGUUUUGCGAGUACCUGAAGAAUAAGCACCGGCUAACUACGUGCCAGCAGCCGCGGUAAUACGUAGGGUGCGAGCGUUAAUCGGAAUUACUGGGCGUAAAGGGUGUGCAGGUGGUUUUGCAAGAUGGAUGUGAAAGCCCCGGGCUUAACCUGGGAAAGCCAUACAUGACUGC
Molecule: ribosomal RNA, 305 nt
Filed under: uncultured bacterium
Lineage: Bacteria
Description: bacterial SSU rRNA
Rfam family: Bacterial small subunit ribosomal RNA
Source: RNAcentral